Molecule: small nucleolar RNA, 78 nt
Organism: Helicoverpa armigera (cotton bollworm)
Lineage: Eukaryota; Metazoa; Arthropoda; Insecta; Lepidoptera; Noctuidae
Product: small nucleolar RNA U43
Exons: 1
Source: RefSeq, a predicted model, not a curated record
AUGAUGAUCUCCUAUCUUUAUAAUAUACGGUUAGAACCUGAGUUCCAUGUGAAGAUUUUACUAGGGCGGACUGAUGUU